AUAAUGGGUCAGCGACUUAUAUUCUGUAGCAAGGUUAACCGAAUAGGGGAGCCGAAGGGAAACCGAGUCUUAACUGGGCGUUAAGUUGCAGGGUAUAGACCCGAAACCCGGUGAUCUAGCCAUGGGCAGGUUGAAGGUUGGGUAACACUAACUGGAGGACCGAACCGACUAAUGUUGAAAAAUUAGCGGAUGACUUGUGGCUGGGGGUGAAAGGCCAAUCAAACCGGGAGAUAGCUGGUUCUCCCCGAAAGCUAUUUAGGUAGCGCCUCGUGAAUUCAUCUCCGGGGGUAGAGCACUGUUUCGGCAAGGGGGUCAUCCCGACUUACCAACCCGAUGCAAACUGCGAAUACCGGAGAAUGUUAUCACGGGAGACACACGGCGGGUGCUAACGUCCGUCGUGAAGAGGGAAACAACCCAGACCGCCAGCUAAGGUCCCAAAGUCAUGGUUAAGUGGGAAACGAUGUGGGAAGGCCCAGACAGCCAGGAUGUUGGCUUAGAAGCAGCCAUCAUUUAAAGAAAGCGUAAUAGCUCACUGGUCGAGUCGGCCUGCGCGGAAGAUGUAACGGGGCUAAACCAUGCACCGAAGCUGCGGCAGCGACGCUUAUGCGUUGUUGGGUAGGGGAGCGUUCUGUAAGCCUGCGAAGGUGUGCUGUGAGGCAUGCUGGAGGUAUCAGAAGUGCGAAU
This 684-nucleotide ribosomal RNA is filed under the name Escherichia coli. Its description in RNAcentral is "partial 23S ribosomal RNA". It matches the Rfam family "Bacterial large subunit ribosomal RNA", at positions 612 to 1295 of the family's 2925-position model. Lineage: Bacteria; Pseudomonadati; Pseudomonadota; Gammaproteobacteria; Enterobacterales; Enterobacteriaceae. The record is from RNAcentral.